Molecule: non-coding RNA, 115 nt
Organism: Triticum aestivum (bread wheat)
Lineage: Eukaryota; Viridiplantae; Streptophyta; Magnoliopsida; Poales; Poaceae
Source: Rfam
AAAAUACUCCCUCCAUUCGGAAUUACUCGUCCAAGAAAUGAAUGUAUCUAGAUGUAUUUUAGUUGUAGAUACAUCCAUUUUUGUGACAAGUAAUUCCGAACGAAAGGAGUAGAAG